CGCUGGCGGCGUGCUUAACACAUGCAAGUCGAACGGAAAGGCCCUGCUUUUGUGGGGUGCUCGAGUGGCGAACGGGUGAGUAACACGUGAGUAACCUGCCCUUGACUUUGGGAUAACUUCAGGAAACUGGGGCUAAUACCGGAUAGGAGCUCCUGCUGCAUGGUGGGGGUUGGAAAGUUUCGGCGGUUGGGGAUGGACUCGCGGCUUAUCAGCUUGUUGGUGGGGUAGUGGCUUACCAAGGCUUUGACGGGUAGCCGGCCUGAGAGGGUGACCGGCCACAUUGGGACUGAGAUACGGCCCAGACUCCUACGGGAGGCAGCAGUGGGGAAUAUUGCACAAUGGGCGGAAGCCUGAUGCAGCAACGCCGCGUGCGGGAUGACGGCCUUCGGGUUGUAAACCGCUUUCGCCUGUGACGAAGCGUGAGUGACGGUAAUGGGUAAAGAAGCACCGGCUAACUACGUGCCAGCAGCCGCGGUGAUACGUAGGGUGCGAGCGUUGUCCGGAUUUAUUGGGCGUAAAGGGCUCGUAGGUGGUUGAUCGCGUCGGAAGUGUAAUCUUGGGGCUUAACCCUGAGCGUGCUUUCGAUACGGGUUGACUUGAGGAAGGUAGGGGAGAAUGGAAUUCCUGGUGGAGCGGUGGAAUGCGCAGAUAUCAGGAGGAACACCAGUGGCGAAGGCGGUUCUCUGGGCCUUUCCUGACGCUGAGGAGCGAAAGCGUGGGGAGCGAACAGGCUUAGAUACCCUGGUAGUCCACGCUGUAAACGGUGGGUACUAGGUGUGGGGUCCAUUCCACGGGUUCCGUGCCGUAGCUAACGCUUUAAGUACCCCGCCUGGGGAGUACGGCCGCAAGGCUAAAACUCAAAGGAAUUGACGGGGCCCCGCACAAGCGGCGGAGCAUGCGGAUUAAUUCGAUGCAACGCGUAGAACCUUACCUGGGUUUGACAUGGAUCGGGAGUGCUCAGAGAUGGGUGUGCCUCUUUUGGGGUCGGUUCACAGGUGGUGCAUGGCUGUCGUCAGCUCGUGUCGUGAGAUGUUGGGUUAAGUCCCGCAACGAGCGCAACCCUUGUUCACUGUUGCCAGCACGUUAUGGUGGGGACUCAGUGGAGACCGCCGGGGUCAACUCGGAGGAAGGUGGGGAUGACGUCAAGUCAUCAUGCCCCUUAUGUCCAGGGCUUCACGCAUGCUACAAUGGCUGGUACAGAGAGUGGCGAGCCUGUGAGGGUGAGCGAAUCUCGGAAAGCCGGUCUCAGUUCGGAUUGGGGUCUGCAACUCGACCUCAUGAAGUCGGAGUCGCUAGUAAUCGCAGAUCAGCAACGCUGCGGUGAAUACGUUCCCGGGGCUUGUACACACCGCCCGUCAAGUCAUGAAAGUUGGUAACACCCGAAGCCGGUGGCCUAACCGUUGUGGGGGAGCCGUCGAAGGUGGGACUGGU
This 1431-nucleotide ribosomal RNA is filed under the name uncultured organism. Its description in RNAcentral is "16S ribosomal RNA". It matches the Rfam family "Bacterial small subunit ribosomal RNA". The record is from RNAcentral.